RNAcentral lists this ribosomal RNA (496 nucleotides) under uncultured bacterium. RNAcentral's name for it is "partial 16S ribosomal RNA". It matches the Rfam family "Bacterial small subunit ribosomal RNA", at positions 28 to 507 of the family's 1533-position model. The record is from RNAcentral.
GACGAACGCUGGCGGCGGGCCUAAUACAUGCAAGUUGAGCGCUGAAGGUUGGUACUUGUACCAACUGGAUGAGCAGCGAACGGGUGAGUAACGCGUGGGUAAUCUGCCUUUUUUCGGGGGACAACAUUUGGAAACGAAUGCUAAUACCGCAUAAAAACUUUAAACACAAGUUUUAAGUUUUAAAGAUACAAUUGCAUCACUCAAAGAUGAUCCCGCGUUUUAUUAGCUAGUUGGUGGGGGAAAGGCUCACCAAGCCGAUGAUACAUAGCCGGCCUGAGUGGAGGAUCAGCCACACUGGAACUGAGACGCAGGCCAGACGCCCACGGGAGGCAGCAGUGGGGAAUAUUGGAAAAGGGGCGCAAGCCUAAACCAGCCAUACCGCGGGGGUGAAGAGGGCAUUCGGGUUGGAAAACCCGUUUGUAGAGAAAGAAAAGCAGCAGGUUAAUACCCCGCUGUUCUGACGGUACCCAAAAAAUAAGCACCGGCUAACUUCGUG